This 433-nucleotide ribosomal RNA is filed under the name uncultured bacterium. Its description in RNAcentral is "partial 16S ribosomal RNA". It matches the Rfam family "Bacterial small subunit ribosomal RNA", at positions 29 to 507 of the family's 1533-position model. The record is from RNAcentral.
AACGAACGCUGGCGGCAUGCCUAACACAUGCAAGUCGAACGAGACCUUCGGGUCUAGUGGCGCACGGGUGCGUAACGCGUGGGAACCUGCCCUUAGGUUCGGAAUAACUCCCCGAAAGGGGUGCUAAUACCGGAUAAUGUCUUCGGACCAAAGAUUUAUCGCCUUUGGGUGGGCCCGCGUUGGAUUAGCUAGUUGGUAGGGUAAAAGCAUACCAAGGCGACGAUCCAUAGCUGGUCUGAGAGGAGGAUCAGCCACACUGGGACUGAGACACGGACCAGACUGGUACGGGACGGAGGAGAGGGGAAUAUUGGGCGAUGGGGGAAAGUCUGAUACAGCAAUGCCGGGGGAGUGAUGAAGGCCGUAGGAUUGUAAAGCUCUUUUACCCGGGAUGAUAAUGACAGUACCGGGAGAAUAAGCUCCGGCUAACUCCGUG